UCCCUGGUGUCUCAGAUGGUAGAGAAUCUGCCUGCAAUAUAGGAAACCCAGGUUCAAUCCCUGGAUUGGGAA
RNAcentral lists this transfer RNA (72 nucleotides) under Bos indicus (zebu cattle). It matches the Rfam family "tRNA". From Rfam's summary of the family: Transfer RNA (tRNA) molecules are approximately 80 nucleotides in length. Their secondary structure includes four short double-helical elements and three loops (D, anti-codon, and T loops). RNAcentral also lists the same sequence under 2 other names. Lineage: Eukaryota; Metazoa; Chordata; Mammalia; Artiodactyla; Bovidae. The record is from Rfam by way of RNAcentral.